Molecule: ribosomal RNA, 404 nt
Filed under: Actinomycetes bacterium
Lineage: Bacteria; Bacillati; Actinomycetota; Actinomycetes
Description: Actinobacteria bacterium partial 16S ribosomal RNA
Rfam family: Bacterial small subunit ribosomal RNA
Source: RNAcentral
UGGGGAAUAUUGGACAAUGGGCGCAAGCCUGCUCCAGCCAUGCCGCGUGAGUGAUGAAGGCCCUAGGGUUGUAAAGCUCUUUCACCGGUGAAGAUAAUGACGGUAACCGGAGAAGAAGCCCCGGCUAACUUCGUGCCAGCAGCCGCGGUAAUACGUAGGGGGCUAGCGUUGUUCGGAUUUACUGGGCGUAAAGCGCACGUAGGCGGACUAUUAAGUCAGGGGUGAAUUCCCGGGGCUCAACCCCGGAACUGCCUUUGAUACUGGUAGUCUUGAGUUCGAGAGAGGUGGGGGGAAUUCCGAGUGUAGAGGUGAAAUUCGUAGAUAUUCGGAGGAGCACCAGUGGCGAAGGCGGCGCGCUGGCUCGAUAAUGACGCUGAGGUGCGAAAGCGUGGGGAGCAAACAGC